GGCCGGGUGGUGCAAUGGUAACACGCGCAACCUACUUCAUUUGUGAGUUCCUCGUUUGAUUCGGGGUCCGGUCU
This is a non-coding RNA of Mycena metata, 74 nucleotides long. Lineage: Eukaryota; Fungi; Basidiomycota; Agaricomycetes; Agaricales; Mycenaceae. The record is from the annotation of a GenBank genome assembly.